UAGGUUUAAUUAGCAUCAGCACAAACCUGGUCAGCAAACAACGGCAUUCGGUGCCAAAGAACGCAGCACCAGUGGAAGUUUAGUUCCUCGCGAAGCACGGCAGGAAGUGGAUUUUAAUUCCAUCGCAAGAUUCCAUCCAUCGACUGGAUGGGAUGCGCGAGAGCAAAAUAGGUGAAACAAGGUGGCCAAAGCGAAAGAGGGAGAAUUUGUUUUGAUGCUCGUCAUCGCCGUGUCGCACGCGGUGUGUUGUUCGGUGCAGUAGUCGUGUGAUGCUGCGAUGCUGGAGUGCGUACGUGUUUGUGCGCGAGUGUGUUGAUUAAAGAGAUCAUUUUCGCUACGAGGCGUCAAGGUGCUUCGAAAUCACAGUAAGCUGCGAAGCAAGAACCUCGAUUGUGCAUUUGAUUGCUUUCGAAAGAGUGUCGAAAGAGGAACAGGAACGCUGCAAGAGGCGGCCGAUCAUCGACAUUUGGAACAGGUCCAUUGCGUUCGUCUAAGGAAAAGUCCAUCCUUCGAGUUACGAACCCCGCAGCUAAAGAUAACGAAGGUUGUUCUUGCACGCCACCCUAAUCCCCGCCCAACUGCCGGGUUGCAAAAUCACACCGAGGAUAAUCGAAAAAGGUUGCUCCGUUUGUGUGUUGCUGACAAACAUCAC
Molecule: long non-coding RNA, 652 nt
Organism: Anopheles coustani
Lineage: Eukaryota; Metazoa; Arthropoda; Insecta; Diptera; Culicidae
Exons: 3
Source: RefSeq, a predicted model, not a curated record